UACGUAGGGGGCAAGCGUUGUCCGGAUUUACUGGGCGUAAAGAGCGCGUAGGCGGAAGUCUAAGCGGUGCCUGAAAGCCCCCGGCUCAACCGGGGAGGGUGGUGCCGAACUGGGCUUCUUGAGGGCGAUAGAGGAGAGUGGAAUUCCGGGUGUAGCGGUGAAAUGCGUAGAGAUCCAGAGGAACACCAGUGGCGCAGGCGGCGUCCUGGCACAUACCUGACGCUCAGACACGACAGCAUGGGGAGCGAACGGG
Molecule: ribosomal RNA, 253 nt
Filed under: uncultured prokaryote
Description: partial 16S ribosomal RNA
Rfam family: Bacterial small subunit ribosomal RNA
Source: RNAcentral